AGAGUUUGAUCAUGGCUCAGAAUCAACGCUGGCGGCGUGCCUAACACAUGCAAGUCGAACGAGAAAGCGGGGGCAACUCCGUGAGUAAAGUGGCAGACGGGUGAGUAACACGUGAACAACUGCCCUCGAGUGGGGAAUAACACCGCGAAAGCGGUGCUAAUGCCGCAUAACAUCCCUGAGUCGCAUGACCUGGGGAUCAAAGGCGAAAGUUGCUUGAGGAGGGGUUCGCGCCUGAUUAGCUAGUUGGUGAGGUAACGGCCCACCAAGGCGACGAUCAGUAGCCGGCCUGAGAGGGCGAACGGCCACACUGGAACUGAGACACGGUCCAGACUCCUACGGGAGGCAGCAGUGGGGAAUUUUGCGCAAUGGGCGAAAGCCUGACGCAGCAACGCCGCGUGGAGGAUGAAGGUCCUCGGAUCGUAAACUCCUGUCAGGGGGGAAGAAAGCCCAAAAGGUUUGACUGUACCCUCUGAGGAAGCCACGGCUAACUCCGUGCCAGCAGCCGCGGUAAUACGGAGGUGGCAAGCGUUGUUCGGAAUUACUGGGCGUAAAGGGCGCGUAGGCGGUUUUGCAAGUCAGAUGUGAAAUCCCCGGGCUUAACUCGGGAAUUGCAUCUGAAACUGCUUUUCUUGAGUCCUGGAGGGGGUAGUGGAAUUCCCAGUGUAGCGGUGAAAUGCGUAGAUAUUGGGAGGAACACCUGUGGCGAAGGCGGCUACCUGGACAGUGACUGACGCUGAGGCGCGAAAGCUAGGGGAGCGAACGGGAUUAGAUACCCCGGUAGUCCUAGCCGUAAACGAUGGGCACUUGGUGUUGGGGGUAUUGAGUCCCCCGGUGCCGGAGUUAACACGUUAAGUGCCCCGCCUGGGGAGUACGGUCGCAAGACUGAAACUCAAAUGAAUUGACGG
Molecule: ribosomal RNA, 905 nt
Filed under: uncultured bacterium
Lineage: Bacteria
Description: bacterial SSU rRNA
Rfam family: Bacterial small subunit ribosomal RNA
Source: RNAcentral